GAUCAUGGUCAGGAUGAACGCUAGCUACAGGCUUAACACAUGCAAGUCGAGGGGCAGCAUUGGAGUAGCAAUACUCAGAUGGCGACCGGCGCACGGGUGAGUAACACGUAUCCAACCUGCCGCUUACUCGGGGAUAGCCUUUCGAAAGAAAGAUUAAUACCCGAUGGUAUAAAGAGUUCGCAUGUUCUCUUUAUUAAAGAAUUUCGGUAAGCGAUGGGGAUGCGUUCCAUUAGAUAGUUGGCGGGGUAACGGCCCACCAAGUCUACGAUGGAUAGGGGUUCUGAGAGGAAGGUCCCCCACAUUGGAACUGAGACACGGUCCAAACUCCUACGGGGGGCAGCAGUGAGGAAUAUUGGUCAAUGGACGAGAGUCUGAACCAGCCAAAGUAGCGUGAAGGAUGACUGCCCUAUGGGUUGUAAACUUCUUUUAUAAGGGAAUAAAGUGAGGGACGUGUCCCUUUUUGUAUGUACCUUAUGAAUAAGGAUCGGCUAACUCCGUGCCAGCCGCAGC
RNAcentral lists this ribosomal RNA (510 nucleotides) under uncultured bacterium. RNAcentral describes it as "bacterial SSU rRNA". It matches the Rfam family "Bacterial small subunit ribosomal RNA", at positions 15 to 518 of the family's 1533-position model. The record is from RNAcentral.